This 21-nucleotide ribosomal RNA is filed under the name Stenoptera peruviana. RNAcentral describes it as "partial 26S ribosomal RNA". Lineage: Eukaryota; Viridiplantae; Streptophyta; Magnoliopsida; Asparagales; Orchidaceae. The record is from RNAcentral.
GCGACCCCAGGAUGGGCGGGA